Long non-coding RNA from Homo sapiens (human), 405 nucleotides. Ensembl annotates it as long intergenic non-protein coding RNA 520. Lineage: Eukaryota; Metazoa; Chordata; Mammalia; Primates; Hominidae. The record is from Ensembl.
CACACAAGCUCUCUUGCCUUCUGCCAUGUAAGAUAUGACUGUGCUCCUCCUUCACCUUCUGCCAUGAUUGUGAGGCCUCCACAGCCAUGUGGAACUGGAAGCUGUUUUUCCCUCUUUGGGGUCUCAGAGAGAUUGGUGGCAAGGACUCCUGGGAAGAGAAAAGCUGAAGGACACUCUGGCAAGAGGAAACCCCGAGCCAAACGUAUGGCCACCUCUGACCACUCGACCAGCCCAGCAUGGUGUACAUUUCUGGGUAGCUUAUCACGCCUUCCAAGCAUUGCCUUUAUCUUCCUUCUCCCCAUCAAGCCUGUAUUGUUUUCCUUUUGAAUCAUAAGCACUUUUGUUAAAUACCUCAAAUCUUUCGAGAACAGCAAGGAGCAAAAUAAACUUAACUUCUCUGAGACC